This 253-nucleotide ribosomal RNA is filed under the name uncultured bacterium. RNAcentral describes it as "partial 16S ribosomal RNA". It matches the Rfam family "Bacterial small subunit ribosomal RNA", at positions 524 to 776 of the family's 1533-position model. The record is from RNAcentral.
GACGAACCGUGCGAUCGUUGUUCGGAAUCACUGGGCUUAAAGGGCGCGUAGGCGGGUCAUCAAGUCCGGGGUGAAAUCUUUCGGCUUAACCGGAAAAUAGCCUUGGAUACUGGUGGUCUUGAGGGAGGCAGGGGCAGCGGGAACUUCCGGUGGAGCGGUGAAAUGCGUUGAUAUCGGAAGGAACGCCGGUGGCGAAAGCGCGCUGCUGGACCUUUUCUGACGCUGAGGCGCGAAAGCCAGGGGAGCAAACGGG